UGGGGAAUAUUGGACAAUGGGCGCAAGCCUGAUCCAGCCAUGCCGCGUGGGUGAAGAAGGCCUUCGGGUUGUAAAGCCCUUUUGUUGGGAAAGAAAUCCUGUCGGCUAAUACCCGGCGGGGAUGACGGUACCCAAAGAAUAAGCACCGGCUAACUUCGUGCCAGCAGCCGCGGUAAUACGAAGGGUGCAAGCGUUACUCGGAGUUACUGGGCGUAAAGCGUGCGUAGGCGGUUCGUUAAGUCUGUCGUGAAAGCCCUGGGCUCAACCUGGGAAUUGCGAUGGAUACUGGCGAGCUAGAGUACGGUAGGGGAUGGUGGAAUUCCCGGUGUAGCGGUGAAAUGCGUAGAGAUCGGGAGGAACACCCGUGGCGAAGGCGGCCAUCUGAACCAGUACUGACGCUGAGGCACGAAAGCGUGGGGAGCAAACA
Molecule: ribosomal RNA, 427 nt
Filed under: uncultured bacterium
Lineage: Bacteria
Description: bacterial SSU rRNA
Rfam family: Bacterial small subunit ribosomal RNA
Source: RNAcentral